This 76-nucleotide microRNA precursor is filed under the name Myotis lucifugus (little brown bat). Its description in RNAcentral is "mir-9229 microRNA precursor family". It matches the Rfam family "mir-9229 microRNA precursor family". The record is from Rfam by way of RNAcentral. Lineage: Eukaryota; Metazoa; Chordata; Mammalia; Chiroptera; Vespertilionidae.
GAGACACCCCUCCGGGGCAAGACUUGCUUCAGUAGGGCUUUGGUGCUCACUGAGUCUGCCCCCUGAGUGUGUCCUU